GUGAAUCAUCGAAUUUUUGAACGCAAAUUGCACUCUCUUCGGAGAGUAUGCCUGUUUGAGGGUCAGUAUUAAUAAAAAUCGGUGUGUUGCUUCUUUGUGACGCUCCGGAGUUUGGGUCAUCUUAAUAUCCUUAGGGUUUUAAGGGCCUAAAAAUGAACUUUUUUUCGGCAUUUUGGAUGAACUUAAUUUUUUUUUUUUAUUGUUCUGUUUUAU
Molecule: unclassified non-coding RNA, 213 nt
Filed under: Glomeraceae sp.
Lineage: Eukaryota; Fungi; Glomeromycota; Glomeromycetes; Glomerales; Glomeraceae
Description: partial contains 5.8S ribosomal RNA and internal transcribed spacer 2
Rfam family: 5.8S ribosomal RNA (bases 1-65)
Source: RNAcentral